UCCACGCUGUAAACGAUGAGUACUAGCUGUUGGAUCUGGUGUAAAAGAUUUAGUGGCGCAGCUAACGCGUUAAGUACUCCGCCUGGGGACUACGGCCGCAAGGCUAAAACUCAAAGGAAUUGACGGGGACCCGCACAAGCGGUGGAGCAUGUGGUUUAAUUCGAUGCAACGCGAAGAACCUUACCUACCCUUGACAUCCACAGAACUUUCCAGAGAUGGAUCGGUGCCUUCGG
This 233-nucleotide ribosomal RNA is filed under the name uncultured bacterium. RNAcentral describes it as "partial 16S ribosomal RNA". It matches the Rfam family "Bacterial small subunit ribosomal RNA", at positions 794 to 1023 of the family's 1533-position model. The record is from RNAcentral.